GACAAGAGGACCAGAAAUUCGGUUGAGAGAGAGAAGAAACAGAGGUAGAAUCGAAGAGAGAGAGAGCGUGAACGGAAGGGAUCCGGCAAUCGUCCAUGGUCGGCCACCAUGUUUUGGUGACCAUCUCUGUCUUUCGCCCCCCCCCCCGGGUUCUAGCCCGGUAGCGCCUACGGUUUCCAGUCAGAUUCGUUUACAAAUGAAUACCCUAAUCCAAUUCCGCCGCAUCCCUCGACGUCUCCCCUUCCUCCCUCUUCUCCCAGUUUCGAUUCCGGCGAACCCUCCAUCGGAAUCCACGCUUGAUGCUUGUCGUCUGAAAUUAGAGAUCUGACAGAUUGCAUGUACAAAUUUGGGUUUACUUGUGUUGAUUGUAGAUUCUGCAGUUUUAAAAGCUACUCGAAUUUGGUCUCCAUUCAGGAAUAGGCACACGUCGCCCAUCAAAUCAGAGAAAGCCUUCGGCGAAGGAGGAAGCCGACCUCCAGUGACCAGGCCUUCGUAGGCAACGACAGUGGAAGACGGUCGCGAUAUGGUCAUCGACGAUAGUGUGUGACGCUAAUGGCUAGACGACAGUGGAAGACGGUCGCGAUAUGGUCGUCGUCAAUGGUGUGUGACGCUAAUGUAUAGAUAGUCGUUUAUGCCGGUGUAUGACGCUAUUGGCUCCAACGGGUCACAUAUAGUCUCAGAGGAAGCGCGAAGGUAGACGAGUAAAAACUCUCUCGAUUCUUUCUGAAUUUAUAUGUUCGUUAAUGGAGAUUCGUGUGGCUACGCCUUUAAUCUUCAGUAUUGAACUAUAGAAGUUGGAAUUCAUCGUGUCAAACAUCACCGUUUACAUUUGCCUUGAUUGUGUGUGAUGAUUUGUCUAAGUGAAAACUACUAUCUGGUUUGGUCGUUGUAUCUGCAAGAAAAAAAAGCGAGGCUUUGUUCUUCUUUUCUUAUGCUGUUGCUAGAAUGGUAAUGUAAUUACAACUUCCAUGGCGGACAAAAGUGGUUGAACAAUUCUGAUGGUAAUCAACUUGCUGGUGUGGUAUACAGUCUGUGCCAAAGCUCUGAAUGUCUUACAACAUUGCUCUUAAAAGUGAGGUGAAUCUGGUGAGAAUAAGAGUAGACAACGUGGUGAAAGAUUUGAAGUUCGAAGGUUGAGAUCGCAUAUUGAAGCCAACUACUCUAAGGCUUUGGUUUCAAGUUUUAUUCAUUUUUUUUUUUUGUUUUGAACAUGAUGUUUAUUGCUUUUGAACUUUGUUUUGAUUAUACAAACAUGUUUAGAGGCUAAACUUUUGUAGUCGCCUAGGUUUGAUGAACUAAUCAUGUGUUUUUUACUUGUCCAGUUUUACUUUUAUCCAAGUUUAUGUUUAA
RNAcentral lists this long non-coding RNA (1350 nucleotides) under Helianthus annuus (common sunflower). Its description in RNAcentral is "hypothetical non coding rna". Lineage: Eukaryota; Viridiplantae; Streptophyta; Magnoliopsida; Asterales; Asteraceae. The record is from RNAcentral.